RNAcentral lists this microRNA (22 nucleotides) under Penaeus japonicus. RNAcentral describes it as "miR-965". The record is from RNAcentral. Lineage: Eukaryota; Metazoa; Arthropoda; Malacostraca; Decapoda; Penaeidae.
UAAGCGUAUGGCUUUUCCCCUC